Molecule: long non-coding RNA, 448 nt
Organism: Monodelphis domestica (gray short-tailed opossum)
Lineage: Eukaryota; Metazoa; Chordata; Mammalia; Didelphimorphia; Didelphidae
Source: RefSeq, a predicted model, not a curated record
AUAGCGUCCUCCUCUCUAGUCAGAUUCCCGCUCUGCUGCGGUUUCUGGGGCUUCCGUGAGGAACGGAUUUUCGAGGAGUGGAUUCCUGAGAGAAGAAAGUCCCAGAGACGCGCGAGACUUGCUGAGCCCCUACAGACGCCAAGCAGCAGAGCUGGGUCAAAAAGAAUACAGAUAGCUCUUCUAUAUCUUGUCUUUGCCCAUCUCAGCUUUGAUGUAUCAUGGAUCUGAAAAAAAAAAUUAAAUGGCAAUUUUGGGGGCAAGUUUUGCAGAAGAUACAGACAGCACAAGAAGUUUGAAGUUGGCAAAAAGAAAAUGAAGUCAUAUCCCCAUUUAAGUUCAAAGAUCUCUCCAUGAACCCCAGGUUAAGGUUUUCCAAUAUGAAAGAUUGAACUGAAAAUGGAGAAGAAUGUUAAAGGGGAAGCAGAGAUAAACUCAGGAUAUUAUUCUG